Molecule: non-coding RNA, 108 nt
Organism: Acanthosepion pharaonis
Lineage: Eukaryota; Metazoa; Mollusca; Cephalopoda; Sepiida; Sepiidae
Source: the annotation of a GenBank genome assembly
UAGGGCCAUAUCAUGUUGAAACACAUGUUCUCAUAUGAUCACCAAAGUCGAGCAAUGCUCAGCUUGGUCAGUACCUAGAUGGGUGACCACUUGGGAAUACCAGGUGCU